Molecule: ribosomal RNA, 540 nt
Filed under: uncultured bacterium
Lineage: Bacteria
Description: bacterial SSU rRNA
Rfam family: Bacterial small subunit ribosomal RNA
Source: RNAcentral
AAUGAACGUUGGCGGCGUGGAUUAGGCAUGCAAGUCGAGCGGUAGGGAACUGCUCACCCGGUGCAUUUAGCCCGGCCAUUUGGCCGGGCGACGUGUUCCAGGUGAGCAGUUCCUGAGAGCGGCGAAAGGGAGAGUAAUACGUAGUUACGUACCCCGAGGACCGGAAUAGCCACGGGAAACUGUGGGUAAUGCCGGAUGUUGUCUUCGGAUUAAAGGGUGUGAUUCCGCCUUGGGAGCGGACUGCGUUGUACUAGCUAGUUGGUGGGGUAAUGGCCUACCAAGGCGAUGAUGCAUAGCGGGUGUGAGAGCAUGACCCGCCUCACUGGGACUGAGACACUGCCCAGACACCUACGGGUGGCUGCAGUCGAGAAUCUUCGGCAAUGGGCGAAAGCCUGACCGAGCGACGCCGUGUGCGGGAUGAAGGCCUUCGGGUUGUAAACCGCUGUCGUAGAGGAGGAAGUUGAUCGGGGUUCUCCCCGGUCAUUGACCUAUUCUAGGAGGAAGGACGGGCUAAGUUCGUGCCAGCAGCCGCAGUAAUAC